RNAcentral lists this ribosomal RNA (440 nucleotides) under uncultured bacterium. RNAcentral describes it as "partial 16S ribosomal RNA". It matches the Rfam family "Bacterial small subunit ribosomal RNA", at positions 338 to 795 of the family's 1533-position model. The record is from RNAcentral.
CCUACGGGUGGCAGCAGUGGGGGAUAUUGCACAAUGGAGGGAACUCUGAUGCAGCGACGCCGCGUGAGGGAAGAAGGUUUUCGGAUUGUAAACCUCUGUCUUCGGUGACGAAACGAGACGGUAGCCGAGGAGGAAGCCACGGCGAACUACGUGCCAGAAGCCGCGGUAAUACGUAGGUGCAAAGCGUUGUUCGGAAUUACGGGGUGUAAAGGGAGCGUAGGCGGGAAAGCAAGUUGAAUGUUUAAGGGACGGGGUCAACCUGUACAAGCGUUCAAGACUGUUUUUCUUGAGUGGAGUAGAGGGUAGCGGAAUUACUAGUGUAGCGGUGAAAUGCGUAAAUAUUAGGAGGAAAACCAGUGGCGAAGGCGGCUUACUGGGCUUUAACUGACGCUGAGGUUCGAAAGCGUGGGUAGCAAACAGGAUUAGAUACCCCUGUAGUC